RNAcentral lists this ribosomal RNA (497 nucleotides) under uncultured bacterium. RNAcentral describes it as "partial 16S ribosomal RNA". It matches the Rfam family "Bacterial small subunit ribosomal RNA", at positions 28 to 507 of the family's 1533-position model. The record is from RNAcentral.
GAUGAACGCUGGCGGCGUGCCUAAUACAUGCAAGUCGAGCGAACAGAUGAGGAGCUUGCUCCUCUGACGUUAGCGGCGGACGGGUGAGUAACACGUGGAUAACCUACCUAUAAGACUGGGAUAACUUCGGGAAACCGGAGCUAAUACCGGAUAAUAUAUUGAACCGCAUGGUUCAAUAGUGAAAGACGGUUUUGCUGUCACUUAUAGAUGGAUCCGCGCCGCAUUAGCUAGUUGGUAGGGUAACGGCUUACCAAGGCAACGAUGCGUAGCCGACCUGAGAGGGUGAUCGGCCACACUGGAACUGAGACACGGUCCAGACCCCUACGGGAGGCAGCAGUAGGGAAUCUUCCGCAAUGGGCGAAAGCCUGACGGAGCAACGCCGCGUGAGUGAUGAAGGUCUUCGGAUCGUAAAACUCUGUUAUUAGGGAAGAACAAAUGUGUAAGUAACUAUGCACGUCUUGACGGUACCUAAUCAGAAAGCCACGGCUAACUACGUG